ACAGAAAAAACACAGUAAUUAGAGUUUAACACUGAAGCUGUUAAGGAAACAUUUUUGUUUUUAGGUA
RNAcentral lists this transfer RNA (67 nucleotides) under Pollostacris sp. OR322. RNAcentral's name for it is "tRNA-Phe". The record is from RNAcentral. Lineage: Eukaryota; Metazoa; Arthropoda; Insecta; Orthoptera; Acrididae.